UAUCCGUAGGUGAACCUGCGGAUGGAUCAUUAACACAAAAAAUCCCAAAAUGAGAGGGAAACCUCUUGUUUAACCCCACUUUUAAUUAGCGAACUCGUCAACGGCGGUUUUGCUGGACUCCUAGUUGGUUUGGAGUCAACUUUAAAAGGCGACCACCGUUCGUUUUUUUUUCACUUUUUCACUUUUUUACCUUUAAAACCCCAAUCAAUUCUAAUUUAGACUGAAAAAUAAUCUCUUCUUUUUUUUUGGCUUAACAACCAAAAGAAAAAGAGACUUUUGAAAUAAUUAAUGUACAACUCUUAACAACGGAUAUCUUGGCUCUC
RNAcentral lists this unclassified non-coding RNA (323 nucleotides) under plant metagenome. Its description in RNAcentral is "partial contains small subunit ribosomal RNA, internal transcribed spacer 1, and 5.8S ribosomal RNA". The record is from RNAcentral.